GAUGAACGCUGGCGGCGUGCCUAAUACAUGCAAGUCGAGCGAACAGACGAGGCGCUUGCUCCUCUGACGUUAGCGGCGGACGGGUGAGUAACACGUGGAUAACCUACCUAUAAGUCUGGGAUCACUUCGGGAAACCGGAGCUAAUACCGGAUAAUAUAUUGAACCGCAUGGUUCAAUAGUGAAAGACGGUUUUGCUGUCACUUAUAGAUGGAUCCGCGCCGCAUUAGCUAGUUGGUAAGGUAAAGGCUUACCAAGGCAACGAUGCGUAGCCGACCUGAGAGGGUGAUCGGCCACACUGGAACUGAGACACGGUCCAGACUCCUACGGGAGGCAGCAGUAGGGAAUCUUCCGCAAUGGGCGAAAGCUUGACGGAGCAACGCCGCGUGAGUGAUGAAGGUCUUCGGAUCGUAAAACUCUGUUAUUAGGGAAGAACAAAUGUGUAAGUAACUAUGCACGUAUUGACGGUACCUAAUCAGAAAGCCACGGCUAACUACGUG
RNAcentral lists this ribosomal RNA (497 nucleotides) under uncultured bacterium. RNAcentral's name for it is "partial 16S ribosomal RNA". It matches the Rfam family "Bacterial small subunit ribosomal RNA", at positions 28 to 507 of the family's 1533-position model. The record is from RNAcentral.